GAUCAAUGAUGAAAAUAGCCAGAUCUGAGCAUUCAAAGACUAUGUCUAGUCUACCUAUGCAUGAUCUCUGUAGCUCUGAGA
Molecule: small nucleolar RNA, 81 nt
Organism: Hippopotamus amphibius kiboko
Lineage: Eukaryota; Metazoa; Chordata; Mammalia; Artiodactyla; Hippopotamidae
Product: small nucleolar RNA U2-19
Exons: 1
Source: RefSeq, a predicted model, not a curated record